CCUACGGGGGGCAGCAGUGGGGAAUAUUGCACAAUGGGCGCAAGCCUGAUGCAGCCAUGCCGCGUGUGUGAAGAAGGCCUUCGGGUUGUAAAGCACUUUCAGCGGGGAGGAAGGCGGUGAGGUUAAUAACCUCAUCGAUUGGCGUUACCCGCAGAAGAAGCACCGGCUAACUCCGUGCCAGCAGCCGCGGUAAUACGGAGGGUGCAAGCGUUAAUCGGAAUUACUGGGCGUAAAGCGCACGCAGGCGGUCUGUCAAGUCGGAUGUGAAAUCCCCGGGCUCAACCUGGGAACUGCAUUCGAAACUGGCAGGCUAGAGUCUUGUAGAGGGGGGUAGAAUUCCAGGUGUAGCGGUGAAAUGCGUAGAGAUCUGGAGGAAUACCGGUGGCGAAGGCGGCCCCCUGGACAAAGACUGACGCUCAGGUGCGAAAGCGUGGGGAGCAAACAGGAUUAGAUACCCUAGUAGUC
This 465-nucleotide ribosomal RNA is filed under the name uncultured Klebsiella sp. RNAcentral's name for it is "bacterial SSU rRNA". It matches the Rfam family "Bacterial small subunit ribosomal RNA", at positions 338 to 795 of the family's 1533-position model. Lineage: Bacteria; Pseudomonadati; Pseudomonadota; Gammaproteobacteria; Enterobacterales; Enterobacteriaceae. The record is from RNAcentral.